Molecule: long non-coding RNA, 221 nt
Filed under: Vombatus ursinus (common wombat)
Lineage: Eukaryota; Metazoa; Chordata; Mammalia; Diprotodontia; Vombatidae
Description: lncRNA (ENSVURG00010023281.1)
Source: RNAcentral
UUCUCCAAAGUGAAGUCACCGGAGAGCGAGGCGAGGAGCGGCGUGCCUAAGGGGCGGCAGCCCCGAGCAGAACCUUAGCCUGGCAGAAAACGAUUAUAUGAAGCCUAGAUUGGAAAGGCAGCUUGGCCUCAAACUGUGUGAGAAGGUGAAUCAGAUCAGGUCAGUGUAAGGAGCAUGAAAUAGGGUGGAACAAUAAACCACCAGAGGGCAGUGUGGAGCCA